GAUGAACGCUGGCCGCGUGCCUAAUACAUGCAAGUCGAGCGAACGGACGAGAAGCUUGCUUCUCCGAUGUUAGCGGCGGACGGGUGAGUAACACGUGGAUAACCUACCUAUAAGACUGGGAUAACUUCGGGAAACCGGAGCUAAUACCGGAUAAUAUUUUGAACCGCAUGGUUCAAAAGUGAAAGACGGUCUUGCUGUCACUUAUAGAUGGAUCCGCGCUGCAUUAGCUAGUUGGUAAGGUAACGGCUUACCAAGGCAACGAUGCAUAGCCGACCUGAGAGGGUGAUCGGCCACACUGGAACUGAGACACGGUCCAGACUCCUACGGGAGGCAGCAGUAGGGAAUCUUCCGCAAUGGGCGAAAGCCUGACGGAGCAACGCCGCGUGAGUGAUGAAGGUCUUCGGAUCGUAAAACUCUGUUAUUAGGGAAGAACAUAUGUGUAAGUAACUGUGCACAUCUUGACGGUACCUAAUCAGAAAGCCACGGCUAACUACGUG
This 497-nucleotide ribosomal RNA is filed under the name uncultured bacterium. RNAcentral's name for it is "partial 16S ribosomal RNA". It matches the Rfam family "Bacterial small subunit ribosomal RNA", at positions 28 to 507 of the family's 1533-position model. The record is from RNAcentral.